RNAcentral lists this long non-coding RNA (2896 nucleotides) under Pan troglodytes (chimpanzee). Its description in RNAcentral is "long non-coding RNA NONPTRT004403". Lineage: Eukaryota; Metazoa; Chordata; Mammalia; Primates; Hominidae. The record is from RNAcentral.
GGGGGACAGCAGGCCUGGUCACCAGCUUUUGUACCUGUCUCUGCAAGCAUUGCAUUGCUGGAAGAGAAUCUCAUGCCAGAGCUUGGACCAUGCCUUGCUCAGGGGUUAGGGGUUGUCUCUUGGUGACCUAAAUGAAAAAAUAGCUCCAGAUCAUAGUUCCCACAGAGCCCAAGGCUGGAAACCUCCAGAAUCCUCUGGCCCCCAAUCCUCCCCAGGGACCCCUGUGGCCUAUCUCACAAGAACAUUCUUCCAUCUGUAGAUUUCUUGGCUGCUCCACAAGGGAGUCCCACUUCAGGUGUGGUGCUGGGCAUGGUCACUCCUGCUGGAUGUUUAGAAGGUGGAAACCAAGGACCUAGGGAAAUACCAGGUACAGCCUUUCCACCCUCAUCCAGAGAAGGACAAAGAGGCCAGGCGGUGUCAGGAGCCCAGGUCUCCAGCUGGAGGGAACGUCAACCCUGCAGUGGGAGCAGGGGCCCAUUGCACAUCCUAGGCAGAGAUGAUAACGUAGGAACCACAGAAGCUCUGCUGACAGUUUGGUGAUUGCCAUUGGGGCAGUGAGCCUUUUGUCCGUUCUGAGGUUGGGCUGGUUUCUCCUCUUGGCCCUGCCCUACAGACCAUAAAGGAAAUCAGCAAGAAGUCCCCAGCAAACAUCCACAGAUGGCCCUGGACAUCAGCCACAUUCUGAGAAACAUGUCAUGUUCUGGGAGGGCUAAGGCAUCAAGUAAGUCUUAUGGGGCUGGAGGAUCCCAGGGCAGGUGGGGCAAUCCAGAGCCAUGGGGGCUUCCCAUGGGAAUUGGGAGGUCCCAAGGCAGACACAGGGGUUCCACAGGAGGAGUCCCAGAGCCACCAAGCGCUCUCCUGUCCCAGGGAGCAGUCAACACCAUGGACUGAACACUUACUGGGCUUCAAGCUCUGGGCCAGGCUGGGGCAUGUGGGGCCAUGAGGGAGCCCAGAGUGGGAGACAGAGAGACAAGUGUGCUCAGAGGGCACCCAUUUCUGGGUGUAAUGUGGUCCUGAGAUUUUGGCUGAGAAGGGUUUCCAGGGUUUCAUAUGUGUUAUGGAGCUGCUUCCUCUCCCCAGCCUCACCUUGCAGGAAUCCCAGUGAAUAUAUUGCCACCCUAUUUGAGCUCAGUGCCCUCAUAGUGUAAUGGCACCAGCAGAUCUGCCUGUGCAUGGACUUCCUGUACUACCCAUUCCUGAGGGGUGAUGCUUCUGCAGGGCCUGUGACCUGGUGCACAACUUUAGACACCAUCAUCCUGGAGCAGCACUGCACCCUCACUAGCCAGGGUGUUCAUGACUUCCUCAAGGCCAAGGCCACGUUCAAGACUUGGGACUUCAGUGAUGCACUUGUGCUGGGCAAGGUGGCUUCUCCGGUAUCUUAAUUUGGGAGGUAGAAUGCAGCUUGAAAUCAAAUGUCUGAUCAAAGAACUUGAACUUGAUCUGGAGGGCUCUGGGGAGCCAUGGAAGGUGCUGGAUAAAGGAGGGACAGUCAGAUAUGUCUUAGAGAUGACUGUAGAAGGCUGCCUGGAAGGAAUGAACAAGAGCCAGGAGACGCAGGAGGGAGCUUGUGGGGCAGGUCUGGAGAUGGCAAGGGAGGGAUCCUGCUUGGAUGAAAAGUCUUCAGGGACUGUUUCAGGUUACACUCAGGUGCCCUCAGAGCUAAUGUGUUCAGAGGUCUUGUCUCCAGGAUGAAAAUGGGAAGGAGUUGUCAGAUGAGGACAUAUAAAUGGAGGCUGGCAUCUUCAUGAGUACCAGCGGUGGUCCCGGUGUGGGUCUCUCCAUCCAGGGACAUGGUGGAUGGACACUACAUCAUUCCAUUCUGCCCUUCCUUUCCCUCCUCCCAUUCUCCCGAGGGCCUCAGUGCAUGGGCGGUGUCCAACCUCUGGUGCUGAAGCAGCCGAGAGACCCAAGCCUGCGUGGCUGCCUCUUAGGAUAUGACAGCACAGCCACUGGGCUCUACUGAAUCCUGUGCAACCUCAGAAGACACCCAGGAGUGAUGCCAUCACGUGGUGCAAGAGUUCUGAGGGACCGCAAUCCUGAAGACAUUGAAUGGCUGUGUUCCUGCUCACUGCUGGAGGCGCUGUCAGGGGCCCUGUCCUCAACCCCGGGUCUGACCCUUGCAGAUCAGGCAGGACAUUCUGGAGGAAUCAUGCCCUUGGAAGGAUCCCUGAGGAGUGACUGUUGUUAGAUUAAAAAACAGUGGCAAAGAGCAAUACAGAGAGUUGCCAAAAUUCACACCGCUGGUCCAGGUUUGAAGCAAGCAAUCUGUACCUGCAGUCCUUGUCUGUAACCAUGGCACCCUGGCUUCUCACACAUCUCAUCGUGGAGUUCCACCAUGUGUCAGGCAUGGCACUGAGCACCUUCUUUUAAGAAUAUAAUUUGUAAUUAUGUAGAUUAUUAAUUCUACUUCAAAAUGCCACACAGCCUUCAUGUGAUAAAAUGAAACAAUUGGUGAGUCUAAGCAUUGAGAAAAAAUGUUCUUUUUUCCACUCCUGACUCCAUUCCAACAGUUGGGACAGUGUUUUCUCUGUGCCUGUAGAAACCUCAGCUCCUGUGCUGAGGAGCCUGUUCCCUUUGGGGAAUGUGGCAGUGAGGUGCUGGCAGGGACCUCGAAGCGGCUGAAGGGUCAUUAAGAAAAAGCUGUUUACGUAGGUGUGGGCAGGGCCAAGGGGAACCAGGGGGGAUGGCGCAGGGCCCUGGGGUUAGCGUCAUCUGGGAGCUGUCACCACCCUCCAGGCUGGUGGGGCCAUGGAGAAGCUGUUUCAGUAACUCAGAGAAUCUGCAGCUGAAAGAGGAGGCCAGAGGAGACAUCACUCACUGUGCCCUUUGACUGCAUCUGGAUGCCCUCACUGACCACACUACCAUCCACUUAUUAGACUGGAGAGGCUGCAGGGAG